UACAGAGGGGGCGAGCGUUGUUCGGAAUUACUGGGCGUAAAGGGCGCGUAGGCGGCCUGCUAAGUCGAACGUGAAAUCCCCGGGCUCAACCCGGGAACUGCGUCCGAUACUGGAAGGCUUGAAUCCGGGAGAGGGAUGUGGAAUUCCAGGUGUAGCGGUGAAAUGCGUAGAUAUCUGGAGGAACACCGGUGGCGAAGGCGACAUCCUGGACCGGUAUUGACGCUGAGGCGCGAAAGCCAGGGGAGCAAACAGG
Molecule: ribosomal RNA, 253 nt
Filed under: uncultured bacterium
Lineage: Bacteria
Description: partial 16S ribosomal RNA
Rfam family: Bacterial small subunit ribosomal RNA
Source: RNAcentral